GUGCUUGCUUUGGUAGCACAUAUACUAAAAUUAGAAUGACACAGAGGAGAUCAGCAUGGUCCCUGUGCAAGGAUGACUCACAAAUUCAUGAAGUGUUCCAUAUUUUU
Ailuropoda melanoleuca (giant panda) is the source of this 107-nucleotide small nuclear RNA. The record is from Ensembl. Lineage: Eukaryota; Metazoa; Chordata; Mammalia; Carnivora; Ursidae.